UGGCUGCAAGGGCUUUGUUCUUGUUUUAAAUAGUUAAAGUAGACUGGGUUUUUCUUUUUUAUGGUGAAUUCUUGGGAAUAUUGGCUUGUAUCUGUGGCAAAGGUUUUCAAUAGUACUUUCUUUCCUUUUCAGGUCACAGUAUUCUAAGAAAUCGAACAGUGUGCCACCCUCCCCAGUGUGGGUACAGACUCAGGAGUAGACAGCUUUCAGGCACUGAUUUCAUACUCCCAAUAGGUAAAUGAAGAAUUCAGAGUCCAAGGGUCAUAGACAUAAAAAAGAAAGAAAAAAAUCAAAGAACUUGAAACACAAUUCUAGCAAUGUGCAAAGCAGGAGCAUGACACCUCAGAUGGCUCAUCAAUUUCAGGAACUCUUCCAAAGCAUGCACCAUCAAAUUGAGAGCCAUCCCCACCGCUAUCCCCACUACUAUGACCCCUCCCCGAGGGACCUUCUCUUCUUCCUCCAGCUGCUUUACCUGCACUAAGUGGUAAACAUCACCGCUAUCAUCUUGCUUUGGGGAGCCUCUCCUCUGCCACCACCUUUGUUCGGGGACCUCCUUUUCAGGCACACAACCUGCUCUGUCAUUUAGAAGGAAGCAGAAAUAAAUUAAU
Heterocephalus glaber (naked mole-rat) is the source of this 608-nucleotide non-coding RNA. The record is from RefSeq and is a predicted model, not a curated record. Lineage: Eukaryota; Metazoa; Chordata; Mammalia; Rodentia; Bathyergidae.